This 549-nucleotide ribosomal RNA is filed under the name uncultured bacterium. RNAcentral's name for it is "bacterial SSU rRNA". It matches the Rfam family "Bacterial small subunit ribosomal RNA", at positions 355 to 895 of the family's 1533-position model. The record is from RNAcentral.
UAGGGAAUCUUCCACAAUGGGCGCAAGCCUGAUGGAGCAACACCGCGUGAGUGAAGAAGGGUUUCGGCUCGUAAAGCUCUGUUGUUAAAGAAGAACACGUAUGAGAGUAACUGUUCAUACGUUGACGGUAUUUAACCAGAAAGUCACGGCUAACUACGUGCCAGCAGCCGCGGUAAUACGUAGGUGGCAAGCGUUAUCCGGAUUUAUUGGGCGUAAAGAGAGUGCAGGCGGUUUUCUAAGUCUGAUGUGAAAGCCUUCGGCUUAACCGGAGAAGUGCAUCGGAAACUGGAUAACUUGAGUGCAGAAGAGGGUAGUGGAACUCCAUGUGUAGCGGUGGAAUGCGUAGAUAUAUGGAAGAACACCAGUGGCGAAGGCGGCUACCUGGUCUGCAACUGACGCUGAGACUCGAAAGCAUGGGUAGCGAACAGGAUUAGAUACCCUGGUAGUCCAUGCCGUAACGAUGAGUGCUAGGUGUUGGAGGGUUUCCGCCCUUCAGUGCCGGAGCUAACGCAUUAAGCACUCCGCCUGGGGGAGUACGACCGCAAGGUU